This is a long non-coding RNA of Bos taurus (domestic cattle), 622 nucleotides long. NCBI's taxonomy places the organism in Eukaryota, Metazoa, Chordata, Mammalia, Artiodactyla, Bovidae. The record is from Ensembl.
GUUUUAUUGUGUCCUUGGGCUAUGUCAUUUUUUCAAAAGUUGUGGUGCUGGUGGUGAUUUAGUCGCUAAGUUGUGUCUUGCGACCCCAUGGACUGUAGCCCGCCAGGCUCCUCUGUCCAUGGGAUUUCCCAGGCAAGAAUACUGGAUUGUGUUGCCAUUUCCUUCUCCAGGGGAUCUUCCCAACCCAGGGAUGGAACCCAGAAACAAGAAUUACCAGCAGGAAUGUGAAUGGAGAGUAACAUUCUGAGAAGAACAUUCUGGGUAGAGGAAUUGAAGUCCCACACAACUUAAUGGGGACACUGGCUGCCUUGGCUCUACCAGAUCUCCUGGAAGAGGUGACUUGUUCUAUCUGUUCACACAAUUUGAAGAAACCACUUGCCGUUGAAUGUGGACACAAGUCUUGCUGUGAUUGCCUCUUAUGAAAUUGGAAAGGAAUCUGAUUACAGCACCUGCUUUAAGUAUAAAGAAAUUUGCAAGGGAAGGGACUUCCCUGGAGGUCCAGUGGUUAAGACUCUGCCCUUCCAUUGUAGAGACACGGAUUUGAUCCCUGGUCAGGGAACUAAGAUCCUGCACACUGCAUGGCAUAUUCAAAAAUUUUUUUGAAUAAAAAAUAAAAUAAAUG